AGUGAACGCUGGCGGUAGGCCUAACACAUGCAAGUCGAACGGCAGCACAGUAAGAGCUUGCUCUUACGGGUGGCGAGUGGCGGACGGGUGAGGAAUACAUCGGAAUCUACUUUUUCGUGGGGGAUAACGUAGGGAAACUUACGCUAAUACCGCAUACGACCUACGGGUGAAAGCAGGGGAUCUUCGGACCUUGCGCGAUUGAAUGAGCCGAUGUCGGAUUAGCUAGUUGGCGGGGUAAAGGCCCACCAAGGCGACGAUCCGUAGCUGGUCUGAGAGGAUGAUAAGCCACACUGGAACUGAGACACGGUCCAGACUCCUACGGGAGGCAGCAGUGGGGAAUAUUGGACAAUGGGCGCAAGCCUGAUCCAGACAUACCGCGUGGGUGAAGAAGGCCUUCGGGUUGUAAAGCCCUUUUGUUGGGAAAGAAAAGCAGCAGGUUAAUACCCCGCUGUUCUGACGGUACCCAAAGAAUAAGCACCGGCUAACUUCGUG
This 492-nucleotide ribosomal RNA is filed under the name uncultured bacterium. RNAcentral describes it as "partial 16S ribosomal RNA". It matches the Rfam family "Bacterial small subunit ribosomal RNA", at positions 29 to 507 of the family's 1533-position model. The record is from RNAcentral.